Molecule: ribosomal RNA, 995 nt
Filed under: uncultured bacterium
Lineage: Bacteria
Description: bacterial SSU rRNA
Rfam family: Bacterial small subunit ribosomal RNA
Source: RNAcentral
UGGGGAAUAUUGCACAAUGGGGGAAACCCUGAUGCAGCGACGCCGCGUGGAGGAAGAAGGUCUUCGGAUUGUAAACUCCUGUUGUUGGGGAAGAUAAUGACGGUACCCAACAAGGAAGUGACGGCUAACUACGUGCCAGCAGCCGCGGUAAAACGUAGGUCACAAGCGUUGUCCGGAAUUACUGGGUGUAAAGGGAGCGCAGGCGGGAAGACAAGUUGGAAGUGAAAUCCAUGGGCUCAACCCAUGAACUGCUUUCAAAACUGUUUUUCUUGAGUAGUGCAGAGGUAGGCGGAAUUCCCGGUGUAGCGGUGGAAUGCGUAGAUAUCGGGAGGAACACCAGUGGCGAAGGCGGCCUACUGGGCACCAACUGACGCUGAGGCUCGAAAGUGUGGGUAGCAAACAGGAUUAGAUACCCUGGUAGUCCACACCGUAAACGAUGAUUACUAGGUGUUGGAGGAUUGACCCCUUCAGUGCCGCAGUUAACACAAUAAGUAAUCCACCUGGGGAGUACGACCGCAAGGUUGAAACUCAAAGGAAUUGACGGGGGCCCGCACAAGCAGUGGAGUAUGUGGUUUAAUUCGACGCAACGCGAAGAACCUUACCAAGUCUUGACAUCCUGUGACAGACGUAGAAAUACGUUCUUCCUUCGGGACACAGAGACAGGUGGUGCAUGGUUGUCGUCAGCUCGUGUCGUGAGAUGUUGGGUUAAGUCCCGCAACGAGCGCAACCCUUAUGGUCAGUUACUACGCAAGAGGACUCUGGCCAGACUGCCGUUGACAAAACGGAGGAAGGUGGGGAUGACGUCAAAUCAUCAUGCCCUUUAUGACUUGGGCUACACACGUACUACAAUGGCGUUAAACAAAGAGAAGCAAGACCGCGAGGUGGAGCAAAACUCAGAAACAACGUCCCAGUUCGGACUGCAGGCUGCAACUCGCCUGCACGAAGUCGGAAUUGCUAGUAAUCGUGGAUCAGCAUGCCACGGUGAAUACGUUCCC